This 442-nucleotide ribosomal RNA is filed under the name uncultured bacterium. Its description in RNAcentral is "partial 16S ribosomal RNA". It matches the Rfam family "Bacterial small subunit ribosomal RNA", at positions 338 to 795 of the family's 1533-position model. The record is from RNAcentral.
CCUACGGGGGGCAGCAGUAGGGAAUCUUUCACAAUGGGCGAAAGCCUGAUGGAGCAACGCCGCGUGCAGGAUGAAGGCCUUCGGGUUGUAAACUGCUUUUAUAAGCGAGAAAUAUGAUGGUAACUUAUGAAUAAGGAUCGUCUAACUACGUGCCAGCAGCCGCGGUCAUACGUAGGAUCCGAGCAUUAUCCGGAGUGACUGGGUGUAAAGAGUUGCGUAGGUGGCCUAAUAAGUAGCUAGUGAAAUCUGGUGGCUCAAACAUUCAGACUAUUAGCUAAACUGUUAAGCUCGAGACCGUUAGGGGUAACUGGAAUUUCUAGUGUAGGAGUGAAAUGCGUAGAUAUUAGGAGGAACACCGAUAGCGUAGGCAGGUUACUGGGACGGUUCUGACGCUAAGGCUCGAAAGCGUAGGGAGCAAACGGGAUUAGAUACCCCAGUAGUC